Molecule: long non-coding RNA, 2230 nt
Organism: Bubalus bubalis (water buffalo)
Lineage: Eukaryota; Metazoa; Chordata; Mammalia; Artiodactyla; Bovidae
Exons: 5
Source: RefSeq, a predicted model, not a curated record
ACUAAAAAUAAUCAUCAGGAUGCUGCUAAAACAGUACUAUGAGGAAUUUAAAGCACUAAACACACAGCUUAGAAAAGAAAGAAUGGUUUUAAAUCCAUGCUCCAAGGUUACUUCUCUCACCAUCCUGCUUCUAUCCCAUGACCUGCCUGUAUCCGCCCCACAAGAGUGAGUGCUCUGAGGGCUGCAUCUGUAUCGUGUGCAUCCUUAGUAUACCGACCCUAACACAGAGCCUGGUCCACCACAGGCCUCCAGAUACAUGCCUUGACCAAAGCUCCAGGCUCACUGGUGUCCCUGUCACAGGAGCCAGAGAACGCCUUGGGCCUGGGCCUUCUAUUCCAUUCCAUCUGGAAUGAACAGAAUUCUGGUCCCAUAACACGGCCCAGGGAGCCUCUGAGGACUGGCGAUGGGCCCACUCCGCAGGCCAGUCUGAGAGGGACCACAGGGCAAGCCACCCCGACCCGUGCGGCUCCAUGGAGACCCUUCCCACCUCAGGGCUUGGUACCCGUGCCCCUCCCCCGCAGCUCUCCUCGGGUCUGGCUCUUUCUCACUGCUGCAGUUUCAGUUCAUUUCCUCAGACGGGCCUUCUGUGCCCCUUACCUAUAAUCCUUCCUUCUACAGCAUCACUGGGCUUUGGUUUUGGACAGCCACCCCUCCCCUAGUAGAUCCAGUCCUGGUGAAGUUGUCAGCUAAGGCACCCUGGUCUCCCCUAGUGAGAGAGCUGUGGACCUUCUGUUCCUGUGUUGUGACUGCUCCGGGGAACUUUCUCCCCACGUCUACCCCUGAAGAGACAGUCUACUGGGGCCACAAAAUAACCCUGCUUCCUGUGCCUUCCCUUAUUCUCUCUCCCUUUCACUCUGUCCUUUGAUCCUGUCUUAUCCUCCUCUUAUCUGUCCAGAAAUUUCCUUUUGGCUGAGUCAUUUCUUUGGCUUACAAUAAAGAACCCUGACACUAACCUUCAGCCAUUAUCUUUUUGUUCUUCUUACAGCAUUUUUCAAAAUCCAAAAUGAUUUUUUUUUUUUAAAUGAGCUGACAUGUUUGUCGUCUGUCUCCACCGUGUCGGGAGCAGCCUUUUCAGUCUUGCUCCCUGCUGUCCCAAGACCUAGUCCAAGACUGAGGCUGGCGCAGGCAGGGCUGCAGAGGAAGGCAGGGCCACGCGGGGCCGGGUCUCACCGCCAGACCCUCUGGCUGGAGCGCUGCCCAGGCUGUGUGAGAGGGGGCGGGAGGGGGCCGUGGGGACCAGGGGUGAGCCUCCACCUUCGCUUCGGAUUCCAAGCAACAGAUUCCAAGACCAGAUCUCUCUUCCCCUCGCCCUGUGAUCUCUACCGAUCCUUGGGGACACUGGCAAUGUCUGGAGACAUUUUUGGCUAUCAUAACUGCAGCAACACAUCCUACAAUGCACAGGACAGCUCCCUCAACAAAGAGUUUUCCAGCAAAAAUGUCGAUAGUACCAAGGUGGCGAAGCCUCGCUGUGACUGAAUGUACCACGUAUGCCUAAGGCAAGAGCAUCAUCAUAUAAACACACCGGAGAGAUACGGUCAAGUCUUGAUUCACGUCACAAGGCUGUUGGCAGUGGCUGGGAGUCAAAUCAGAUCCAUUUAUGCUGUGAUUCAAGUACCUGUCUACUCUGCUCCCUGCCUCAGUGACUGAGCAUUUGUGAGCCUGAACCAUGGGACAUGGCAAACAGAUAUUUUGUCCUGAGAGGCAAAGAAAUGUCCAGGACGGCUAGGAGCCCAGAAGCCUGAGUUCGACUCCCAAGUGGACCCCUUGUCCCAGGACCAGAUCAUCCACGUCACCCAGAGCUCCCGAGUCCUCACCAGCAGACAGACUCAGCACACUCCCAGACCCACCUGGAGAGGUGGAUUCUUUACCAUCUGAGCCACCAGGGAAGCCCAAGGAGUCUCUGCAAAGCCUGUGGCAGGAUCCAGCCCUCCCCCAGCCCUGCCCUGCCUCCCCGAGGGUGGAAGUCAUCCCGGGACCACAGGGAGCCCUCGCCAAAGGUCUCUUCAGCACCCACUCUGGCCAGGGCAUCAAGGGCGGCAGAGGCAGAAAGUGACAGAACAGGGCUUUGGAGACGCCAAACUGUGGCCCUGCCACUCAGCACCGUGUGGCCUGACAUCUUGCCUGGAUCCAAGAAUCAGUCUCCUUGUGCACAAAGUGAAGUCAACAGUUGUAACCGGUGAAGCAGUGACACAAACGAAAUAAAACGAAUGGAACCGAGAGCACUAAAAAA